UGGGGAAUAUUGCACAAUGGGCGCAAGCCUGAUGCAGCCAUGCCGCGUGUAUGAAGAAGGCCUUCGGGUUGUAAAGUACUUUCAGCGGGGAGGAAGGGAGUAAAGUUAAUACCUUUGCUCAUUGACGUUACCCGCAGAAGAAGCACCGGCUACCUCCGUGCCAGCAGCCGCGGUAAUACGGCGGGUGCAAGCGUUAAUCGGAAUUACCGGGCGUAAAGCGCACGCAGGCGGUUUGUUAAGUCAGAUGUGAAAUCCCCGGGCUCAACCUGGGAACUGCAGCUGAUACUGGCAAGCUUGAGUCUCGUAGAGGGGGGUAGAAGUCCAGGUGUAGCGGUGAAAUGCGUAGAGAUCUGGAGGAAUACCGGUGGCGAAGGCGGCCCCCUGGACGAAGACUGACGCUCAGGUGCGAAAGCGUGGGGAGCAAACAGG
RNAcentral lists this ribosomal RNA (429 nucleotides) under Chloroflexota bacterium. RNAcentral describes it as "Chloroflexi bacterium partial 16S ribosomal RNA". It matches the Rfam family "Bacterial small subunit ribosomal RNA", at positions 355 to 776 of the family's 1533-position model. Lineage: Bacteria; Bacillati; Chloroflexota. The record is from RNAcentral.